GUCCAGACGCUCCGAUGGCGAUCUUGUUUCUCUCAGACUCUGGCAUGGACGGGUCUGAGGAAGACAGACAGACAGGUGAGCAGACAGACAGGUGAAAAGGUGAGCAGACAGACAAGUGAGCAGACAGACAGACAGACAGGUGAAAAGGUGAGCAGACAGACAAGUGAGCAGACAGAUAGGUGAAAAUGUGAGCAGACAGACAGGUGAAAAGGUGAGCAGACAGACAGGUGAAAGGUGAGCAGACAGACAGGUGAGCAGACAGACAGGUGAGCAGGCAGACAGGUGAAAAGGUGAGCAGACAGACAGGUGAAAAGGUGAGCAGACAGACAGGUGAGCAGACAGACAGGU
Labrus mixtus (cuckoo wrasse) is the source of this 348-nucleotide long non-coding RNA. RefSeq lists it as uncharacterized. NCBI's taxonomy places the organism in Eukaryota, Metazoa, Chordata, Actinopteri, Labriformes, Labridae. The transcript has 3 exons. The record is from RefSeq and is a predicted model, not a curated record.